This 253-nucleotide ribosomal RNA is filed under the name uncultured bacterium. Its description in RNAcentral is "partial 16S ribosomal RNA". It matches the Rfam family "Bacterial small subunit ribosomal RNA", at positions 524 to 776 of the family's 1533-position model. The record is from RNAcentral.
UACGUAGGGUGCGAGCGUUAAUCGGAAUUACUGGGCGUAAAGGGUGCGCAGGCGGUUCUGCAAGUCAGGCGUGAAAGCCCCGGGCUCAACCUGGGAAUUGCAUUCGAGACUGCAUUGCUGGAGUACGGAAGAGGAGGGCGGAAUUCCCGGUGUAGCGGUGAAAUGCGUAGAUAUCGGGAGGAACAUCAGUGGCGAAGGCGGCCCUCUGGUCCAGUACUGACACUCAAGUGCGAAAGCGUGGGGAGCAAACAGG